RNAcentral lists this unclassified non-coding RNA (357 nucleotides) under soil metagenome. RNAcentral's name for it is "partial contains 5.8S ribosomal RNA, internal transcribed spacer 2, and large subunit ribosomal RNA". The stretch from base 1 to 120 matches the Rfam family "5.8S ribosomal RNA", at positions 35 to 154 of the family's 154-position model. The record is from RNAcentral.
GAUGAAGAACGUAGCGAAAUGCGAUAAGUAAUGUGAAUUGCAGAAUUCAGUGAAUCAUCGAAUCUUUGAACGCACAUUGCGCCCGCUAGUAUUCUGGCGGGCAUGCCUGUCCGAGCGUCAUUUCAACCCUCGGGAGCCCCUUUGCGGGGGCUGCCGGUGUUGGGGAUCGCCCGCCGCCAUGGUGGACGUCCCCUAAAACGAUUGGCGGUCUCGCUGUAGCCUCCUCUGCGCAGUAGCACUUGUUCUCGCAGGCGGAGCGCGGCGCGGCCAAGCCGUUAACCCCCAACUUUUUUACUAGGUUGACCUCGGAUCAGGUAGGAAUACCCGCUGAACUUAAGCAUAUCAAUAAGCGGAGGA